This 456-nucleotide ribosomal RNA is filed under the name uncultured bacterium. RNAcentral's name for it is "bacterial SSU rRNA". It matches the Rfam family "Bacterial small subunit ribosomal RNA", at positions 30 to 507 of the family's 1533-position model. The record is from RNAcentral.
AUUGAACGCUGGCGGCAGGCCUAAUACAUGCAAGUCGAACGGUAACAUAAAGAAGCUUGCUUCUUUUGAUGACGAGUGGCGGACGGGUGAGUAAUAUUUGGGAAACUACCUGAUAGAGGGGGACAACAGUUGGAAACGACUGCUAAUACCGCAUAAAGCCUGAGGGUGAAAGCAGCAAUGCGCUAUCAGAUGUGCCCAAACGGGAUUAGCUAGUAGGUGAGGUAAAGGCUCACCUAGGCGACGAUCUCUAGCUGGUCUGAGAGGAUGAUCAGCCACAUUGGGACUGAGACACGGCCCAGACUCCUACGGGAGGCAGCAGUAGGGAAUAUUGCACAAUGGAGGAAACUCUGAUGCAGCCAUGCCGCGUGUGUGAAGAAGGCCUUCGGGUUGUAAAGCACUUUCGGAGGGGAGGAAAAAAUGACGUUACCCUCAGAAGAAGCACCGGCUAACUCCGUG